GACGAACGCUGGCGGCAUGCUUAACACAUGCAAGUCGAACGGAAAGGCCCUGCUUUUGUGGGGUGCUCGAGUGGCGAACGGGUGAGUAACACGUGAGUAACCUGCCCUUGACUUUGGGAUAACUUCAGGAAACUGGGUCUAAUACCGGAUAGGAGCUCCUGCUGCAUGGUGGGGGCUGGAAGGUUUAGGCGGUUGGGGAUGGACUCGCGGCUUAUGGGGUUGUUGGAGGGGUAGUGGCUUACCAAGGCAUUGACGGGUGGCCGGCCUGCUCGGGGGAGCUGCCCAAUUAGGAUGGGACUGAGGCCCAGACUACUACGGGAGGCAGCGGUGGGGAGUAUUGCACAAGAGGCGGAGGCCAGAUGCAGCAACGCCGUGUGGGGGAUGACGGGCUUGGGGUUGUAUACCGCUUUCGCCUUAGACGAGGCGUUAAUGACGGUACUGGGUGAAGAAGCACCGGCUAACUACGUG
This 468-nucleotide ribosomal RNA is filed under the name uncultured bacterium. Its description in RNAcentral is "partial 16S ribosomal RNA". It matches the Rfam family "Bacterial small subunit ribosomal RNA", at positions 28 to 507 of the family's 1533-position model. The record is from RNAcentral.